GCGUCCGUAGCUCAACCGGAUAGAGUAACAGACUUCGAAUCUGUAGGUCGCCCGUUCGAGUCGGGCCGGACGCA
Molecule: transfer RNA, 74 nt
Filed under: Treponema sp.
Lineage: Bacteria; Pseudomonadati; Spirochaetota; Spirochaetia; Treponematales; Treponemataceae
Description: tRNA-Arg
Rfam family: tRNA
About the family: Transfer RNA (tRNA) molecules are approximately 80 nucleotides in length. Their secondary structure includes four short double-helical elements and three loops (D, anti-codon, and T loops).
Source: RNAcentral